ACGGGUGAGUAAGAUAAGGGGUAU
This 24-nucleotide microRNA is filed under the name Panax ginseng (ginseng). RNAcentral describes it as "pgi-miR6136a.2". The record is from miRBase by way of RNAcentral. Lineage: Eukaryota; Viridiplantae; Streptophyta; Magnoliopsida; Apiales; Araliaceae.